RNAcentral lists this transfer RNA (62 nucleotides) under Platorchestia japonica. Its description in RNAcentral is "tRNA-Asn". The record is from RNAcentral. Lineage: Eukaryota; Metazoa; Arthropoda; Malacostraca; Amphipoda; Talitridae.
UUAGCUGAAGCCAAAAAGAGGCUAUUCACUGUUAAUGUUUAAAUUGAUUCACUCCAGCUAAU